GGGCCUGGGUUGGUUUUGACAGCAAGGCAAAUGGUCAGGUAAGCAUGCAGGCUCAGGUAACACAAGCCUUGAACAGGGUUACAAAACAAUAAUUGGCGAAGAAAAUUACGCUCUUGCUGCGUAGUCGAAGUACAGUAAACUAACGCUCUUCGGUGCAAAGUGCAUCGGGCAGGACAUCUCUCCGAGACCUUGUUCCCGUGGUUGAAGACAAAGAGGUGCAGACAAAACGGGAAUAGUCCGUGCGGUGCUUCUACACACGGAUGAACCCUUUUCAGAAGAUAAGGUAAAGACAGGACGUUUGCCUCUUGGUCUUUUCCCGACAACAAAAGGCAGAAUAAGCAUGUAGAAAGCCUGGUCGUUUCUUGUUUGGACCAGAGUUCGAAUCUCUGCAGGUCCACCA
Molecule: transfer-messenger RNA, 400 nt
Filed under: Bacteroidales
Lineage: Bacteria; Pseudomonadati; Bacteroidota; Bacteroidia
Also listed under: 2 other names
Description: Onthomorpha intestinigallinarum Standard tmRNA
Rfam family: transfer-messenger RNA
About the family: Bacterial tmRNA, also known as 10Sa RNA or SsrA, is named for its dual tRNA and mRNA-like properties. Its role is to liberate the mRNA from a stalled ribosome.
Source: RNAcentral